Molecule: ribosomal RNA, 496 nt
Filed under: uncultured bacterium
Lineage: Bacteria
Description: partial 16S ribosomal RNA
Rfam family: Bacterial small subunit ribosomal RNA
Source: RNAcentral
AUGAACGCUGGCGGCGUGCCUAAUACAUGCAAGUCGAGCGCACGGACGAGAAGCUUGCUUCUCUGAUGUUAGCGGCGGACGGGUGAGUAACACGUGGAUAACCUACCUAUAAGACUGGGAUAACUUCGGGAAACCGGAGCUAAUACCGGAUAAUAUUUUGAACCGCAUGGUUCAAAAGUGAAAGACGGUCUUGCUGUCACUUAUAGAUGGAUCCGCGCUGCAUUAGCUAGUUGGUAAGGUAACGGCUUACCAAGGCAACGAUGCAUAUCCGACCUGAGAGGGUGAUCGGCCACACUGGAACUGAGACACGGUCCAGACUCCUACGGGAGGCAGCAGUAGGGAAUCUUCCGCAAUGGGCGAAAGCCUGACGGAGCAACGCCGCGUGAGUGAUGAAGGUCUUCGGAUCGUAAAACUCUGUUAUUAGGGAAGAACAUAUGUGUAAGUAACUGUGCACAUCUUGACGGUACCUAAUCAGAAAGCCACGGCUAACUACGUG